Molecule: ribosomal RNA, 617 nt
Filed under: Suillus placidus
Lineage: Eukaryota; Fungi; Basidiomycota; Agaricomycetes; Boletales; Suillaceae
Description: eukaryotic LSU rRNA
Rfam family: Eukaryotic large subunit ribosomal RNA
Source: RNAcentral
ACAAGGAUUCCCCUAGUAACUGCGAGUGAACCGGGAAAAGCUCAAAUUUUGAAUCUGGCGGUCUUUCGGCCGUCCGAGUUGUAAUCUAGAGAAGCGUCUUCCGCGCUGGACCGUGUAUAAGUUUCCUGGAAUGGAACGUCGUAGAGGGUGAGAAUCCCGUCUUUGACACGGACUGCCAGGGCUAUGCGAUGCGCUCUCGACGAGUCGAGUUGUUUGGGAAUGCAGCUCAAAUAGGGUGGUAAAUUCCAUCUAAAGCUAAAUACAGGCGAGAGACCGAUAGCGAACAAGUACCGUGAGGGAAAGAUGAAAAGAACUUUGGAAAGAGAGUUAAACAGUACGUGAAAUUGCUGAAAGGGAAACGCUUGAUGUCAGUCGCGUCGGCCGGGGAUCAGCCUUGCUCUUUUGCUCGGCGUACUUCCUGGUCGACGGGUCAGCAUCGGUUUUGACCGUCGGAAAAUGGCUCGAGGAAUGUGGCACUCUUCGGGGUGUGUUAUAGACUCGGGUCGAAUGCGACGGUCGGGACCGAGGAACUCAGCACGACCCUUUGGGGUUCGGGGCUUCGGCUCACGUUUGACGUGCUUAGGAUGCUGGCAUAAUGGCCUUAAGCGACCCGUCUU